UGCCAGACUCCUACGGGAGGCAGCAGUGGGGGAUAUUGCACAAUGGGGGAAACCCUGAUGCAGCAACGCCGCGUGUGGGAAGAAGGUUUUCGGAUUGUAAACCACUGUUCUUGGUGAAGAUAAUGACGGUAACCAAGGAGAAAGCUCCGGCUAACUACGUGCCAGCAGCCGCGGUAAUACGUAGGGAGCAAGCGUUGUCCGGAUUUAUUGGGUUUAAAGGGUGCGUAGGCGGAAUGCCAAGUCAGCGGUAAAAUCGCGGGGCUAAACCUCGCUCCGCCGUUGAAACUGGCGUUCUUGAGUGGGCGAGAAGUAUGCGGAAUGCGUGGUGUAGCGGUGAAAUGCAUAGAUAUCACGCAGAACUCCGAUUGCGAAGGCAGCAUACCGGCGCCCAACUGACGCUGAAGCACGAAAGCGUGGGUAUCGAACAGGAUUAGAUACCCUGGUAG
This 446-nucleotide ribosomal RNA is filed under the name uncultured bacterium. RNAcentral's name for it is "bacterial SSU rRNA". It matches the Rfam family "Bacterial small subunit ribosomal RNA", at positions 329 to 793 of the family's 1533-position model. The record is from RNAcentral.